This is a long non-coding RNA of Pogoniulus pusillus (Red-fronted tinkerbird), 722 nucleotides long. RefSeq lists it as uncharacterized. The record is from RefSeq and is a predicted model, not a curated record. The transcript is spliced from 3 exons. Lineage: Eukaryota; Metazoa; Chordata; Aves; Piciformes; Lybiidae.
UUGGCAGCCAGCAGAGAUGUUAUUUUAUUUACUUUCCUUCUGCAUGCAUGGAUUUGGAGCGGUGAGGUCGGGAGACGUGCGUGGAGGAGAUGAAUUUGCACACGUUGGCUCCCGUCGGCGGAGCGUGCUGUAGGUGGAGAAAAGCCCUGGAAAGGAGAGCUCUUCCUUCUUAUUAAUCUUAGGGGAGGAGCGCUUAAUGCUUUAUUAACCUUAAGGUUUCAGAGAACAGAUGGUUUGGGACUUGAAGAUCUUGCACUGAGACUGAGACGAGGCUGGUUGGAACACAAAAGUCAAUUAUUCCGACAGCACACAGCAGUAAAUGUUUCCAUUCCAUGGUGAGGUGUUGAUUUCCCAAUGGCACUGCAUGGAGCCAGCUGGUCCUGCUGAAGACUCCCUGCUCAGCCACAACAGUGGAUAGAUCCACUCAGGAGAAGUGGAGGAAGAAGAGGAUGGGCUGCUGAGAGGCUCUCCAGACGACUUGACUUUUUCCAUCAGUGCCUUGUUAACAUCACAGAUAAUUUUCUCCUGGAAAUAACCAGGAAAAAAAAAAUCAACUUGAGCCAAAACAGUUCAAGAGUUUAGAAAAACGAGCAAAGAGGGAGGGGGCAGCAGCUCCUUUGUGAGCAUCUGAUCCUGGUGUCAGCCCCUGGCAUCUUCCAUCCCUGUGGGGGAAAGAAAAUGUUUGGGCAUAAUAAAGAGAACAGAAUAACUUGCAAAACAAA